AUUGAACGCUGGCGGCGUGCUUUACACAUGCAAGUCGAACGGCAGCACGAAAGAGUUUACUCUUUUGGUGGCGAGUGGCGAACGGGUGAGUAAUACAUCGGAACGUGCCUAUUAGUGGGGGAUAGCUUGGCGAAAGCCAAAUUAAUACCGCAUACAACCUACGGGUAAAAGCAGGGGACCUUCGGGCCUUGCGCUAAUGGAGCGGCCGAUGGCAGAUUAGGUAGUUGGUGGGGUAAGGCCUACCAAGCCUGCGAUCUGUAGCUGGUUUGAGAGGAUGAUCAGCCACACUGGGACUGAGACACGGCCCAGACUCCUACGGGAGGCAGCAGUGGGGAAUUUUUGGACAAUGGGGGAAACCCUGAUCCAGCGACGCCGCGUGCAGGAAGAAGGCCUUCGGUUGUAAC
This 404-nucleotide ribosomal RNA is filed under the name uncultured Burkholderiales bacterium. RNAcentral's name for it is "bacterial SSU rRNA". It matches the Rfam family "Bacterial small subunit ribosomal RNA", at positions 30 to 429 of the family's 1533-position model. The record is from RNAcentral. Lineage: Bacteria; Pseudomonadati; Pseudomonadota; Betaproteobacteria; Burkholderiales.